Molecule: long non-coding RNA, 1335 nt
Organism: Canis lupus familiaris (dog)
Lineage: Eukaryota; Metazoa; Chordata; Mammalia; Carnivora; Canidae
Exons: 3
Source: RefSeq, a predicted model, not a curated record
GUCAUUCACAUGUCAAAAGCCUUACUUCAGAGCAAGAAAGGACUUGUCUUGGAAUCCUGCAGUGGGCCGACCGGGUCUGGAGCCCGGCGGAAAGGACCCAGGGCGCAGCAGGCUGACGUUACCCGUGGUGGAUGAGCCAGUGUUCAACACGCAGGAAGGCGGGAGGGAGCGACCAGGAACCCGAGCACAACUCCGGCCAGCGCUCAGCGUGCAGACUAAAACAAGGGACUCAGGUUCCCAAGCCUGUGCGCCCCCCCUCCCCGCCCCCGAAUCUGUAAGCCCGAUGCGGGCAUCGCCGAAAGAGACAAGAGCCCAGGGCGCAGCUCGCCUUUCAGGGAAGAAGGGAGGCUGGGAAAACAGACGUGCCGAUCUCAUCUUACCUCAAAAGAGGACUCCAACUCGUCCACCAAGGUACUGUUAGAAGCUCUCGGAGGGCCCGGCGCGGCCUGAAGAAGCGAAGCCUGGCCCCUGGAGUCCCCCGCGUGCCCAGGUGGCUGCCCGGAGAACAUGCCUCCCAGCGGAGCCGCCAUUUGUGGAACGACGCGCUGGCGGGGGCGGGGGGGCGGGGGCUGCGCCUGCGCAGGAACUGGCGCCCGCGGCUCACGUGACGCAGCCCGUCACGUGACUCUGCGGGCGCCGUAGGCGGACCUCGGGCUCCGCGGAAGCUGCGAGUGCUGGUUUCACUUCGGCCAAGCCUUCUCGGCCUCUGGGCUCAGGUAGGCGGCUGGUGGAAGGCGGGAGGCACCCAGUCAUUGCGCGUUAUUGAGCGCUUACCGCGCUCCAGUGACUAAUCUAGGCCCCGUGGAUGGAGCGGGAACAAACUGGCAGAGUCACUCCUCAAUCCUCUGUGCGGAGGGGCGGGUUAGGGCAGAAAACACUUGCGGGUGUUAAAGCUCCUCCCGCCUUAGGUAUUUGUGCUUACACUAAAGCCACUAUGCGGUCUUUCAGUAGCUUCCCUUUAGCACUAACUUAUCUUUCCAGAAGCAAGUUUUUUUUUUCCCCCGUUAUAUUUUUCACAGUUACCUGCAUUUACCGAGCCUUCCAUGUCCUAGGCUCUGUUUAUUCUGGGAUUUUAACGAUCACCCGAGUCUCUCUUGUAGAGUCUACUACUGUUUUUGUGGGAAAGCGACAAACACACACACAUAUAUAUAGCAGUACCGCAUAGAGGUCUUGGAGCAACAGUGAUCUUAGGAGCACCUGGAUGGCUCAGUGGUUGAGCAUCUGACUUCAGCUCAGGCCGUGAUGUCCUGGGAUCGAGUCCCACAUCAGGUUCCUCACAGGGAGCCUGCUUCUCCCUCUGCCUGUGUCUCUGAUGAAUAAAUAAAAUAACAGAAA